AAAUUGAAGAGUUUGAUCAUGGCUCAGAUUGAACGCUGGCGGCAGGCCUAACACAUGCAAGUCGAACGGUAACAGGAAGCAGCUUGCUGCUUUGCUGACGAGUGGCGGACGGGUGAGUAAUGUCUGGGAAACUGCCUGAUGGAGGGGGAUAACUACUGGAAACGGUGGCUAAUACCGCAUAACGUCGCAAGACCAAAGAGGGGGACCUUCGGGCCUCUUGCCAUCAGAUGUGCCCAGAUGGGAUUAGCUUGUUGGUGAGGUAACGGCUCACCAAGGCGACGAUCCCUAGCUGGUCUGAGAGGAUGACUAGCCACACUGGAACUGAGACACGGUCCAGACUCCUACGGGAGGCAGCAGUGGGGAAUAUUGCACAAUGGGCGCAAGCCUGAUGCAGCCAUGCCGCGUGUAUGAAGAAGGCCUUCGGGUUGUAAAGUACUUUCAGCGGGGAGGAAGGUGUUGUGGUUAAU
This 467-nucleotide ribosomal RNA is filed under the name Salmonella enterica. Its description in RNAcentral is "bacterial SSU rRNA". It matches the Rfam family "Bacterial small subunit ribosomal RNA", at positions 1 to 464 of the family's 1533-position model. Lineage: Bacteria; Pseudomonadati; Pseudomonadota; Gammaproteobacteria; Enterobacterales; Enterobacteriaceae. The record is from RNAcentral.